AUUGAACGCUGGCGGCAGGCCUAACACAUGCAAGUCGAGCGGUAGAGAGAAGCUUGCUUCUCUUGAGAGCGGCGGACGGGUGAGUAAUGCCUAGGAAUCUGCCUGGUAGUGGGGGAUAAUGUUCGGAAACGGACGCUAAUACCGCAUACGUCCUACGGGAGAAAGCAGGUGACCUUCGGGCCUUGCGCUAUCAGAUGAGCCUAGGUCGGAUUAGCUAGUUGGUGAGGUAAUGGCUCACCAAGGCGACGAUCCGUAACUGGUCUGAGAGGAUGAUCAGUCACACUGGAACUGAGACACGGUCCAGACUCCUACGGGAGGCAGCAGUGGGGAAUAUUGGACAAUGGGCGAAAGCCUGAUCCAGCCAUGCCGCGUGUGUGAAGAAGGUCUUCGGAUUGUAAAGCACUUUAAGUUGGGAGGAAGGGCAUUAACCUAAUACGUUAGUGUUUUGACGUUACCGACAGAAUAAGCACCGGCUAACUCUGUGC
This 485-nucleotide ribosomal RNA is filed under the name uncultured bacterium. RNAcentral's name for it is "bacterial SSU rRNA". It matches the Rfam family "Bacterial small subunit ribosomal RNA", at positions 30 to 508 of the family's 1533-position model. The record is from RNAcentral.